AGUGAACGCUGGCGGUAGGCCUAACACAUGCAAGUCGAACGGCAGCACAGUAAGAGCUUGCUCUUACGGGUGGCGAGUGGCGGACGGGUGAGGAAUACAUCGGAAUCUACUUUUUCGUGGGGGAUAACGUAGGGAAACUUACGCUAAUACCGCAUACGACCUACGGGUGAAAGCAGGGGAUCUUCGGACCUUGCGCGAUUGAAUGAGCCGAUGUUGGAUUAGCUAGUUGGCGGGGUAAAGGCCCACCAAGGCGACGAUCCGUAGCUGGUCUGAGAGGAUGAUCAGCCACACUGGAACUGAGACACGGUCCAGACUCCUACGGGAGGCAGCAGUGGGGAAUAUUGGACAAUGGGCGCAAGCCUGAUCCAGCCAUACCGCGUGGGUGAAGAAGGCCUUCGGGUUGUAAAGCCCUUUUGUUGGGAAAGAAAAGCAGCAGGUUAAUACCCCGAUGUUCUGACGGUACCCAAAGAAUAAGCACCGGCUAACUUCGUG
RNAcentral lists this ribosomal RNA (492 nucleotides) under uncultured bacterium. RNAcentral's name for it is "partial 16S ribosomal RNA". It matches the Rfam family "Bacterial small subunit ribosomal RNA", at positions 29 to 507 of the family's 1533-position model. The record is from RNAcentral.